UCAUGUGAUGACUGGAGUUGACCAACAAUUAAAGCAGAAGAAGACCUGCUCCACCUGCUGAUCUACUGGUUGUAACAGCUUGUGGGAAAGCAUCACUGGACCAAUCAGGCGAGAGAAGACGGAGAGGACUGAGGACUAAAACGAAAAUACUCUGCCUGCCAAAAAAGGCAGACGAUCCAGUGGCCCCAGGUUUACACACCAUCUGCUGGUUUGAGGCAGACCGACCGCUGGGGAGAUGGACCUCACCUGGCACCAUUACUCUGGAUGUAACAGGUAGGUGAGCAGAAACUGAAGCUGCUGAGACAUCUCAGAAAAGUUUCAGCAUUUAAU
Molecule: long non-coding RNA, 330 nt
Organism: Xiphophorus maculatus (southern platyfish)
Lineage: Eukaryota; Metazoa; Chordata; Actinopteri; Cyprinodontiformes; Poeciliidae
Exons: 3
Source: RefSeq, a predicted model, not a curated record